AGCGAACGCUGGCGGCGUGCCUAACACAUGCAAGUCGAGCGCGGGCAUUUCGGGGGUAACCCCGGGAUGUGCUGAGCGGCGGACGAGUGAGUAAUACGUGGACAACCUGCCUUAAAGCUUGGGAUAACUCCGGGAAACUGGAGCUAAUACCGGAUAAGACCACGGUGUCUAUGGAUGCUGAGGUAAAAGGCGGCCAGGAGACUGGCUGUUGCUUAAAGAUGGGUCCACGUCCCANCAGGUAGUUGGUGAGGUAAAGGCUCACCAAGCCAAAGACGGGUAGCUGGCCUUAGCGGGUGGUCAGCC
Molecule: ribosomal RNA, 303 nt
Filed under: uncultured bacterium
Lineage: Bacteria
Description: bacterial SSU rRNA
Rfam family: Bacterial small subunit ribosomal RNA
Source: RNAcentral